This 497-nucleotide ribosomal RNA is filed under the name uncultured bacterium. Its description in RNAcentral is "partial 16S ribosomal RNA". It matches the Rfam family "Bacterial small subunit ribosomal RNA", at positions 28 to 507 of the family's 1533-position model. The record is from RNAcentral.
GAUGAACGCUGGCGGCGUGCCUAAUACAUGCAAGUCGAGCGAACAGACGAGGAGCUUGCUCCUCUGACGUUAGCGGCGGACGGGUGAGUAACACGUGGAUAACCUACCUAUAGGACUGGGAUAACUUCGGGAAACCGGAGCUAAUACCGGAUAAUAUAUUGAACCGCAUGGUUCAAUAGUGAAAGACGGUUUUGCUGUCACUUAUAGAUGGAUCCGCGCCGCAUUAGCUAGUUGGUAAGGUAACGGCUUACCACGGCAACGAUGCGUAGCCGACCUGAGAGGGGGAUCGGCCACACGGGAACUGAGACGCGGUCCAGACUCCUACGGGAGGCAGCAGUAGGGAAUCUUCCGCAAUGGGCGAAAGCCUGACGGAGCAACGCCGCGUGAGUGAUGAAGGUCUUCGGAUCGUAAAACUCUGUUAUUAGGGAAGAACAAAUGUGUAAGUAACUAUGCACGUCUUGACGGUACCUAAUCAGAAAGCCACGGCUAACUACGUG